This 752-nucleotide ribosomal RNA is filed under the name uncultured Haemophilus sp. RNAcentral's name for it is "bacterial SSU rRNA". It matches the Rfam family "Bacterial small subunit ribosomal RNA", at positions 80 to 828 of the family's 1533-position model. The record is from RNAcentral. Lineage: Bacteria; Pseudomonadati; Pseudomonadota; Gammaproteobacteria; Pasteurellales; Pasteurellaceae.
CUUUCUUGCUGACGAGUGGCGGACGGGUGAGUAAUGCUUGGGAAUCUGGCUUAUGGAGGGGGAUAACGACGGGAAACUGUCGCUAAUACCGCGUAGAAUCGGAAGAUGAAAGUGCGGGACUGUAAGGCCGCAUGCCAUAGGAUGAGCCCAAGUGGGAUUAGGUAGUUGGUGGGGUAAAGGCCUACCAAGCCUGCGAUCUCUAGCUGGUCUGAGAGGAUGACCAGCCACACUGGAACUGAGACACGGUCCAGACUCCUACGGGAGGCAGCAGUGGGGAAUAUUGCGCAAUGGGGGGAACCCUGACGCAGCCAUGCCGCGUGAAUGAAGAAGGCCUUCGGGUUGUAAAGUUCUUUCGGUAUUGAGGAAGGUUGAUGUGUUAAUAGUACAUCAAAUUGACGUUAAAUACAGAAGAAGCACCGGCUAACUCCGUGCCAGCAGCCGCGGUAAUACGGAGGGUGCGAGCGUUAAUCGGAAUAACUGGGCGUAAAGGGCACGCAGGCGGUUAUUUAAGUGAGGUGUGAAAGCCCCGGGCUUAACCUGGGAAUAGCAUUUCAGACUGGGUAACUAGAGUACUUUAGGGAGGGGCAGAAUUCCACGUGUAGCGGUGAAAUGCGUAGAGAUGUGGAGGAAUACCGAAGGCGAAGGCAGCCCCUUGGGAAUGUACUGACGCUCAUGUGCGAAAGCGUGGGGAGCAAACAGGAUUAGAUANCCUGGUAGUCCACGCUGUAAACGCUGUCGAUUUGGGGGUUGGG